RNAcentral lists this ribosomal RNA (253 nucleotides) under uncultured bacterium. RNAcentral's name for it is "partial 16S ribosomal RNA". It matches the Rfam family "Bacterial small subunit ribosomal RNA", at positions 524 to 776 of the family's 1533-position model. The record is from RNAcentral.
AACGUAGGACACAAGCGUUAUCCGGAAUUACUGGGCGUAAAGCGUGCGCAGGCGGCGCGUUAAGACAGGUGUGAAAGCCCCGAGCUUAACUUGGGAAUUGCGCUUGUGACUGGCGAGCUGGAGUGUGGCAGAGGGAGGUGGAAUUCCACGUGUAGCAGUGAAAUGCGUAGAGAUGUGGAGGAACACCGAUGGCGAAGGCAGCCUCCUGGGCCAGCACUGACGCUCAUGCACGAAAGCGUGGGGAGCAAACAGG